CGGCAUGAUCGGGCCGUCCGGCCCGAGGACGGAAGGCACGCCGAGGACAGAAAAAGACAGAAAGUGAAGUGCGAGGAAGAUGUAGUCACGAAACGCGGCACAGAGGAUGCCGGAGAGCAAAGGAGACGUACGCGAAACGACAGAUGCGACGAAAAGAGGAACAGAGAAAGAAGCGAGAGGGAAGUCUGAAGAACGCACUUAAGAGAACAGAGAACGAUAGAAAAUAUAAAGCAGGACGGAGAGAGAGAGGCGACGUCACAAUGUACCUACUCCCUUUCCUCUCCUCUUUCUCUCGUCUAGACAGCGUAAGAUGCAAUAGAGUGUGGGGUCCACUCACCAUAGCCUCUGUCUUUGGGAUCUUCACGCUCCUUUCGACUUCUUUUUUCAUCCUCUGGCGGUAGAAAUUUACGCUAAAUGAAUGCAGCUGCGCGAAAUCAAUGAGGGUAUGACAGCUCUUUCUAUAUGAAUAAUCUACGAGAUCCUUUGGAUUUCCGGCGGCUCGUAGGUCUUAUCAAAACGGCAGGCAAAGAAAUUAUUCAGGAUGAAUUUGAGAAGAACAGGAAAGAAUUUGAAGUUAAGAAGGGAUAUUGAAAUGUGAAAAGAU
This is a long non-coding RNA of Acromyrmex echinatior (Panamanian leafcutter ant), 604 nucleotides long. The record is from RefSeq and is a predicted model, not a curated record. NCBI's taxonomy places the organism in Eukaryota, Metazoa, Arthropoda, Insecta, Hymenoptera, Formicidae.